Molecule: ribosomal RNA, 557 nt
Filed under: uncultured bacterium
Lineage: Bacteria
Description: bacterial SSU rRNA
Rfam family: Bacterial small subunit ribosomal RNA
Source: RNAcentral
ACGGGUGCGUAACGCGUGGGAAUCUACCCUUGGGUUCGGAAUAACAGUGGGAAACUACUGCUAAUACCGGAUGAUGACGUAAGUCCAAAGAUUUAUCGCCCAAGGAUGAGCCCGCGUAGGAUUAGCUUGUUGGUGAGGUAAAAGCUCACCAAGGCGACGAUCCUUAGCUGGUCUGAGAGGAUGAUCAGCCACACUGGGACUGAGACACGGCCCAGACUCCUACGGGAGGCAGCAGUAGGGAAUAUUGGACAAUGGGCGAAAGCCUGAUCCAGCAAUGCCGCGUGAGUGAUGAAGGCCUUAGGGUUGUAAAGCUCUUUUACCCGGGAUGAUAAUGACAGUACCGGGAGAAUAAGCCCCGGCUAACUCCGUGCCAGCAGCCGCGGUAAUACGGAGGGGGCUAGCGUUGUUCGGAAUUACUGGGCGUAAAGCGCACGUAGGCGGCGAUCUAAGUCAGAGGUGAAAGCCCGGGGCUCAACCCCGGAAUAGCCUUUGAGACUGGAUUGCUAGAAUCCGGGAGAGGUGAGUGGAAUUCCGAGUGUAGAGGUGAAAUUCGUAGA